This is a small nuclear RNA of Rosa rugosa (rugosa rose), 145 nucleotides long. RefSeq annotates it as U12 minor spliceosomal RNA. The transcript has a single exon. Lineage: Eukaryota; Viridiplantae; Streptophyta; Magnoliopsida; Rosales; Rosaceae. The record is from RefSeq and is a predicted model, not a curated record.
UAGCCGCAAACUGAUGAGUAAGGAAAACAAAGCGAGCACUGAGAGCUGCUCGCGGUGCUACUGACUCAAUCUUUGGAAGGGUUAUAGGCUGGCCUAUGCGUUGACGCUGCCUACUUUGCAGAACUCGCUCGUGCGGGCCUCCCCA